RNAcentral lists this transfer RNA (113 nucleotides) under Colletotrichum acutatum. Its description in RNAcentral is "tRNA-Ala". It matches the Rfam family "tRNA". Rfam says of the family: Transfer RNA (tRNA) molecules are approximately 80 nucleotides in length. Their secondary structure includes four short double-helical elements and three loops (D, anti-codon, and T loops). Lineage: Eukaryota; Fungi; Ascomycota; Sordariomycetes; Glomerellales; Glomerellaceae. The record is from RNAcentral. RNAcentral also lists the same sequence under 1 other name.
GGGCGCUUGGUCUAGGGGUAUGAUUUUCGCUUCGCAUCUACAUCUGAGCAUCCAUCGUGAGCUUCAGUUGCGCAAUCUGUGAAAGGUCGUGGGUUCAAUUCCCACAGUGUCCA